GACGAACGCUGGCGGCGUGCUUAACACAUGCAAGUCGAACGGAAAGGCCCCUUUGGGGGUACUCGAGUGGCGAACGGGUGAGUAACACGUGAGUAACCUGCCCUUGACUUCGGGAUAACUUCAGGAAACUGGGGCUAAUACCGGAUAGGAAUCCUUGCUGCAUGGUGGGGGUUGGAAAGCUUCGGCGGUUUUGGAUGGACUCGCGGCUUAUCAGCUUGUUGGUGGGGUAGUGGCUUACCAAGGCUUUGACGGGUAGCCGGCCUGAGAGGGCGACCGGCCACAUUGGGACUGGGAUACGGCCCAGACUCCUACGGGAGGCAGCAGGGGGGAAUAUUGCACAAUGGGCGGAAGCCUGAUGCAGCAACGCCGCGUGCGGGAUUACGGCCUUCGGGUUGGAAACCGCUUUCAGCAGGGGCGAAGCUUGUGGUGACGGUACCUGCAGAAGAAGCACCGGCUAACUACGUG
Molecule: ribosomal RNA, 465 nt
Filed under: uncultured bacterium
Lineage: Bacteria
Description: partial 16S ribosomal RNA
Rfam family: Bacterial small subunit ribosomal RNA
Source: RNAcentral